This 72-nucleotide transfer RNA is filed under the name Magallana gigas (Pacific oyster). RNAcentral describes it as "Crassostrea gigas (Pacific oyster) tRNA-Ser". The record is from RNAcentral. RNAcentral also lists the same sequence under 1 other name. Lineage: Eukaryota; Metazoa; Mollusca; Bivalvia; Ostreida; Ostreidae.
AAGAAAGUAUCUUUAAAAGAAUUAGUGUCUUGAAAACACUAAGUCAAGAGGGGAGGGCUCUUGGCUUUCUUA